RNAcentral lists this ribosomal RNA (1554 nucleotides) under Triticum aestivum (bread wheat). Its description in RNAcentral is "partial small subunit ribosomal RNA". Lineage: Eukaryota; Viridiplantae; Streptophyta; Magnoliopsida; Poales; Poaceae. The record is from RNAcentral.
AUGGCAGAGAUGGUCAGUUCUGCCAUUGUCGGGGAGGCAGUCAGCCGAAUCAUUUCUGGUAUUGCCACCAACAAAGACCAUGAUAAAACGGAUGAAGCCGCAGAAGGUGGCCUAGAGAGGCUGGAGAUGGCGUGCAUCAGGAUGGAGGCUGCGCUCGAGACAUCCAACAAGUGGCAGAUUACGGACACGCCACUGCUCCAUUGGCGAAAGAAACUGAAGCGUGCUGCUCAGGACUGUGAGGACGCGGUUCGCAGAUGCAGGCAACAUUUUCAUGAAGAAGAUGAGAGAAAACAGAUGGUAAGGCAAUCCUCGCUUCCUAGACGUAUUGCACAUACGACCAAGACAUUCAUCUCCUCUUUCGUCGGCCGCAAAAAUGAUCAUUGCUCGGACAACAUAACUUCUGUUCGGAGAUUCGAGAGGUUUGCGGAUGGUGCUACUGAGUUUAUCAGGUUUGUGCAGCUUGGCGGAACGCCACGACAUCACAUGUUCUUCGAUCCUCUCAUCCGACAUAUCUUUGAAGGAAAAUCCAUACGAUAUAUGGUGUUGCAUCCAGGAGGCCAGUAUCACUUCUUCACCAUACAACCCAUAGCUUCCGAGGAGCGUGGUUUGGAGGCCAUACUAUGCUUUGUCUAUGAAGAUUGCAAAUUGCCCGAGAAAAGUUUUGCCCUCAAGUUCAUGAUGCGCAUCUCGGAGAGCACAAACCUAAUCGGAACUACAGUUAAGUGCUUGCAAUUGGUGACGCCUCACUUCAAGUCCACGGCUGAAAUUGUCAUUAAAGAGAUCGCACAGCUCCCUACGCAAGAUUUCUCCUGUUUACCGCAUGAGGUUAUGAGUGUCAACGCGGAACAUUACUGGAAUGAGAUGAACACAACUUUUGCUGUAUGCUCCCGCCCAGAUCCUCUAUGUUGCCAAGGAUACGAGCACAAGAUCGUGUCUUCCUGUUGUGGCGACGAAAGCAACAGCGGAAACAAAUUGAGGCUUUCGAGCAUAUUUCCAGAACCAGUAUGUAAAGUUUUUUUACAGCGUCACGUCUCACCAUCCGAGUACCCUAACCUGCAUGGGUCAGUCACUAGAUAUGACUUGGCUUCUUUGGAGAAUUGCCGACCUUUGAAGCUUGGAAUUCUGUUCAUGCCUCAUGACUCUCUGCAGGAACCCAAGUCCACAAGCAAGGGCUCUGUGAUAGAGGCAAUCGAUGGAAAGAAGCAACACUUGACGCAUGUAAAUGUUCACCCGGAUCAGCUCGACGAGAUGUUUCUGCCCAAGGCGAUAGACUAUCUAUAUCAUAACGUUGAGUCUACAACGUACGAGAUAAGUUGGAGAUCUAACCAUGGUAGUGCAUACCUAUGUGUGGACAUGACGAGUGCGACAAGAUUGCCAGGAGCACCCGCGGCGAUACAAGGUAGGAACAAGAGCAACAAGGUGGUUCCUGAGAUGCAGCAAGAGCUAAUGGAAAAUGUGGAGUGGAAGGAGGUAGCAAGAAGAUGCUUAAAACUUUGGUUGUUUCGUUCCUCCCAGAGAAUGCAGAGCAUGUUUACGGCGUGGCUGAAACGAUGA